RNAcentral lists this ribosomal RNA (228 nucleotides) under uncultured bacterium. Its description in RNAcentral is "partial 16S ribosomal RNA". It matches the Rfam family "Bacterial small subunit ribosomal RNA", at positions 118 to 347 of the family's 1533-position model. The record is from RNAcentral.
UGAGCAAUCUGCCCUUCUCAUCGGAAUAAGCGUUGGAAACGACGUCUAAUGCCGAAUACGACCUCCUUUCGCAUGAUCGGAGGUGGAAAGCUCCGGCGGAGAAGGAUGAGCUCGCGGCCUAUCAGCUUGUUGGUGAGGUAAUAGCUCACCAAGGCGAUGACGGGUAGCCGGCCUGAGAGGGUGACCGGCCACACUGGGACUGAGACACGGCCCAGACCUCUACGGGAG